CACAGCCAGGACCCAGUACUCCAGAUAAAUCAAUAUUCUUUCCUCUCCUUUGCUCCUAGGUCGAAGACUGAGUGUUGAUUCAUAUGAAAAAUAUCUUUUUCACUUCAAAACUCUCAGCCAGGAAAUGAACUUCAGUGGAAAGAAUAUAAACCUAUUUGAAGACAUAGGAAACCCAUGUUCUUUCCUAAGCUCUUGGAACCUGGAAGUUCCCUGGUCACUCUUUGUCACAGUCCGACCUGUGAACAGAGAAGAAGUGGAAAGUGGAAUUGGUCUGAAUUUUAAGAAGCAGUGUGGUCUACUGGAAAAGACACAGGCCUGGGAGUCAGAUGACCUAGGUUCUAGUCCCGGCUCUGCCAC
RNAcentral lists this long non-coding RNA (357 nucleotides) under Ornithorhynchus anatinus (platypus). RNAcentral describes it as "lncRNA (ENSOANG00000042703.1)". Lineage: Eukaryota; Metazoa; Chordata; Mammalia; Monotremata; Ornithorhynchidae. The record is from RNAcentral.